This 460-nucleotide ribosomal RNA is filed under the name uncultured bacterium. RNAcentral describes it as "partial 16S ribosomal RNA". It matches the Rfam family "Bacterial small subunit ribosomal RNA", at positions 338 to 795 of the family's 1533-position model. The record is from RNAcentral.
CCUACGGGAGGCAGCAGUGAGGAAUAUUGGUCAAUGGGCGCAAGCCUGAACCAGCCAAGUAGCGUGAGGGAUGACGGUCCUAUGGAUUGUAAACCUCUUUUGUCGGGGAGCAAGGCCCGCCACGUGUGGCGGGAAGGAGAGUACCCGAAGAAAAAGCAUCGGCAACCUCCGUGCCAGCAGCCGCGGUAUAACGGAGGUUGCGAGGGUUAUCCGGAUUUAUUGGGUUUAAAGGGUGCGUAGGCGGAAGGUUAGUGCAGCGGGCAAAUGUCGGGGCUCAACACCGGCCUGCCGUUGAAACUGGUCUUCUUGAGUGAGCGAGAAGUAUGCGGAAUGCGUGGUGUAGCGGUGAAAUGCAUAGAUAUCACGCAGAACUCCGAUUGCGAAGGCAGCAUGCCGGCGCUCUACUGACGCUGAGGCACGAAAGCGUGGGGAUCGAACAGGAUUAGAUACCCUAGUAGUC